Oryzias melastigma (Indian medaka) is the source of this 249-nucleotide long non-coding RNA. RefSeq lists it as uncharacterized. NCBI's taxonomy places the organism in Eukaryota, Metazoa, Chordata, Actinopteri, Beloniformes, Adrianichthyidae. The transcript is spliced from 3 exons. The record is from RefSeq and is a predicted model, not a curated record.
ACAAUAACAGCUGAUCGCCACAGUCGCUACUUUUCCAUAAACGGAUCAAUCCUUCAACAGAGUCACCACGUUCAAAGGAUGACUGCAGUUAUAAACAUAAAGAUGGAAUAUGUCCUGGACAAAAACCGUCCUCCAGGAGACCUCAUAGUGAAGGAGGGCGAUAUCUGCUCAACCUGUGAAGACUUUAGGAUCCUGAAUAUGACACAAUGGAUGGAAUCCUCAGAGAAAAUGUCUACAUUGAUGACCUUU